UACGUAGGGGUCAAGCGUUAUCCGGAAUUACUGGGUGUAAAGGGUGCGUAGGUGGUAUGGCAAGUCAGAAGUGAAAACCCAGGGCUUAACUCUGGGACUGCUUUUGAAACUGUCAGACUGGAGUGCAGGAGAGGUAAGCGGAAUUCCUAGUGUAGCGGUGAAAUGCGUAGAUAUUAGGAGGAACAUCAGUGGCGAAGGCGGCUUACUGGACUGAAACUGACACUGAGGCACGAAAGCGUGGGGAGCAAACAGG
This 253-nucleotide ribosomal RNA is filed under the name Anaerostipes hadrus ATCC 29173 = JCM 17467. RNAcentral's name for it is "Anaerostipes hadrus DSM 3319 partial 16S ribosomal RNA". It matches the Rfam family "Bacterial small subunit ribosomal RNA", at positions 524 to 776 of the family's 1533-position model. The record is from RNAcentral. Lineage: Bacteria; Bacillati; Bacillota; Clostridia; Lachnospirales; Lachnospiraceae.